This 73-nucleotide transfer RNA is filed under the name Millerozyma farinosa CBS 7064. Its description in RNAcentral is "tRNA-Arg (ACG) (tRNA-Arg-ACG-2-1)". It matches the Rfam family "tRNA". From Rfam's summary of the family: Transfer RNA (tRNA) molecules are approximately 80 nucleotides in length. Lineage: Eukaryota; Fungi; Ascomycota; Pichiomycetes; Serinales; Debaryomycetaceae. The record is from RNAcentral.
UUCCUCAUGGCCCAAUGGUCAAGGCGUCUGACUACGGAUCAGAAGAUUCCAGGUUCGAAUCCUGGUGGGGAAG